GGUUUGACAUAGCAGUGGUAGGGAAGAGAAUCGGACCGACCCUUCGGGAGCUGUUACAGGUGUUGCAUGGCUGUCGUCAGCUCGUGUCGUGAGAUGUUCGUUAAGUCCGCUAACGAGCGCAACCCGCGUUGUGUGUUAUAUGUGUCACACAAUACCGCCGGUAUUAAGCCGGAGGAAGGUGCGGAUGACGUCAAGUCAGCAUGACCUUUAUAUCCAGGGCUACACACACGCUACAAUGGACAGUACAACAGGUUGCCAAGCCGCGAGGCGGAGCCAAUCCUCUAAAGCUGUCCUCAGUUCAGAUUGCAGGCUGCAACUCGCCUGCAUGAAGUUGGAGUUGCUAGUAACCGCAGGUCAGCUAUACUGCGGUGAAUACGUUCCCGGGGAUU
Molecule: ribosomal RNA, 389 nt
Filed under: uncultured Anaerolineaceae bacterium
Lineage: Bacteria; Bacillati; Chloroflexota; Anaerolineae; Anaerolineales; Anaerolineaceae
Description: bacterial SSU rRNA
Rfam family: Bacterial small subunit ribosomal RNA
Source: RNAcentral